CAGUCGCCGCGGUAAUACAGAGGGUGCAAGCGUUAAUCGGAAUUACUGGGCGUAAAGGGCGCGUAGGUGGUUGCGUAAGUGAGAUGUGAAAUCCCCGGGCUUAACCUGGGACGUGCAUCUUAUACUGCGUAACUGGAGUGCAAGAGAGGGUAGUGGAAUUUCCGGUGUAGCAGUGAAAUGCGUAGAUAUCGGAAGGAACACCAGUGGCGAAGGCGGCUACCUGGCUUGACACUGACACUGAGGCGCGAAAGCGUGGGGAGCAAGCAGGAUUAGAUACCCGCGUAGUCCCUGUCUCUUAUCC
Molecule: ribosomal RNA, 301 nt
Filed under: uncultured bacterium
Lineage: Bacteria
Description: partial 16S ribosomal RNA
Rfam family: Bacterial small subunit ribosomal RNA
Source: RNAcentral